Molecule: ribosomal RNA, 753 nt
Filed under: uncultured Comamonadaceae bacterium
Lineage: Bacteria; Pseudomonadati; Pseudomonadota; Betaproteobacteria; Burkholderiales; Comamonadaceae
Description: bacterial SSU rRNA
Rfam family: Bacterial small subunit ribosomal RNA
Source: RNAcentral
AUUGAACGCUGGUGGCAUGCCUUACACAUGCAAGUCGAACGGCAGCACGGGAGCAAUCCUGGUGGCGAGUGGCGAACGGGUGAGUAAUACAUCGGAACGUGCCCAAUCGUGGGGGAUAACGCAGCGAAAGCUGUGCUAAUACCGCAUACGAUCUACGGAUGAAAGCAGGGGAUCGCAAGACCUUGCGCGAAUGGAGCGGCCGAUGGCAGAUUAGGUAGUUGGUGAGGUAAAGGCUCACCAAGCCGUCGAUCUGUAGCUGGUCUGAGAGGACGACCAGCCACACUGGGACUGAGACACGGCCCAGACUCCUACGGGAGGCAGCAGUGGGGAAUUUUGGACAAUGGGCGAAAGCCUGAUCCAGCCAUGCCGCGUGCAGGAUGAAGGCCUUCGGGUUGUAAACUGCUUUUGUACGGAACGAAACGGCCUUUUCUAAUAAAGAGGGCUAAUGACGGUACCGUAAGAAUAAGCACCGGCUAACUACGUGCCAGCAGCCGCGGUAAUACGUAGGGUGCAAGCGUUAAUCGGAAUUACUGGGCGUAAAGCGUGCGCAGGCGGUUAUGUAAGACAGUUGUGAAAUCCCCGGGCUCAACCUGGGAACUGCAUCUGUGACUGCAUAGCUAGAGUACGGUAGAGGGGGAUGGAAUUCCGCGUGUAGCAGUGAAAUGCGUAGAUAUGCGGAGGAACACCAGUGGCGAAGGCGACACACUGGCUCAUUACUGACGCUGAGGCUCGAAAGCGUGGGGAGCAAACAGG